AUCUUGCUAGUGUUCCUCAAGUAAUCUUCACUGCCAACAAGGAGGGGAGGGAGCGGACGGCAAUUGAGACAUCUGACUUCCCCUUGACUUCCUCUAACACUGGCAGCAUCUCAGAAGAAUAGAGCCAAAUUUGUGGUCCAGCUUUUGGAAUUAAUCAAGACCAGACAGAAUACAUUUGAGAGUACUAAGUUGACUGCAGGACUGCCAGCCUAUUCACUUUCAUCACUGACAGAGAGGCCAAAAGUGGCACCAUGCAAUGGGCACAUGGGAGGAUUGCUUUUCAAAUGUUUACUUCCACUUUGAGGGAAUCCGGGAGAACAAGACCAAUUAUAGUUUGCCAGUAAGAUGUUCAGACGUGUCCAGAGUUUCUUCCUUCUGAUGGGUUCGUCAUCUCGCUGACUUCAGGAGUAAAGCCGCAGACCUUCGCAGUGAACAUUACAGCUCUUAAAAGUGGCGUGUCCAGAGUUAUUUGUUCCUCCUGGUGGGUUCGUGGUCUCGCUGACUUCAGGAGUGAAGCCACAGACCUCCGCG
Molecule: long non-coding RNA, 531 nt
Organism: Homo sapiens (human)
Lineage: Eukaryota; Metazoa; Chordata; Mammalia; Primates; Hominidae
Source: Ensembl